AUUGAACGCUGGCGGAAUGCUUUACACAUGCAAGUCGAACGGCAGCACGGACUUCGGUCUGGUGGCGAGUGGCGAACGGGUGAAUAAUGUAUCGGAACGUGCCCAGUCGUGGGGGAUAACGUAGUGAAAAUUACGCUAAUACCGCAUACGAUCUAUGGAUGAAAGCGGGGGAUCGCAAGACCUCGCGCGAUUGGAGCGGCCGAUAUCAGAUUAGGUAGUUGGUGGGGUAAAGGCCCACCAAGCCAACGAUCUGUAGCUGGUCUGAGAGGACGACCAGCCAGACUGGAACUGGGACACGGUCCAGACUGCUACGGGAGGCAGCAGUGGGGAAUUUUGGACAAUGGGCGAAAGCCUGAUCCAGCCAUUCCGCGUGCAGGAUGAAGGCCCUCGGGUUGUAAACUGCUUUUGUACAGAGCGAAAAGGUUUCUACUAAUACUAGGAGCUCAUGACGGUACUGUAAGAAUAAGCACCGGCUAACUACGUGCCAGCAGCCGCCGUAA
Molecule: ribosomal RNA, 500 nt
Filed under: uncultured bacterium
Lineage: Bacteria
Description: partial 16S ribosomal RNA
Rfam family: Bacterial small subunit ribosomal RNA
Source: RNAcentral